This 337-nucleotide ribosomal RNA is filed under the name uncultured bacterium. Its description in RNAcentral is "bacterial SSU rRNA". It matches the Rfam family "Bacterial small subunit ribosomal RNA", at positions 223 to 579 of the family's 1533-position model. The record is from RNAcentral.
GGAGGGGCUCGCGGCCCAUCAGCUAGUUGGUGAGGUAAAGGCUCACCAAGGCGAAGACGGGUAGGGGGUGUGAGAGCACGGCCCCCACAAUGGGACUGAGACACGGCCAUACUCCUACGGGAGGCAGCAGCAGGGAAUAUUGCACAACGGACGGAAGUCUGAUGCAGCGACGCCGCGUGGAUGAAGAAGGCCUUCGGGUUGUACAAUCCUUUUAGUGGGGAAGAGACAGGACGGUACCCACAGAAUAAAGCGUCGGCUAACUACGUGCCAGCAGCCGCGGUAAGACGUAGGACGCAAGCGUUAUCCGGAUUACUGGGCGUAAGCGUCUGUAGGCGGA